RNAcentral lists this ribosomal RNA (530 nucleotides) under Limosilactobacillus panis. Its description in RNAcentral is "bacterial SSU rRNA". It matches the Rfam family "Bacterial small subunit ribosomal RNA", at positions 44 to 530 of the family's 1533-position model. Lineage: Bacteria; Bacillati; Bacillota; Bacilli; Lactobacillales; Lactobacillaceae. The record is from RNAcentral.
GUGCCUAAUACAUGCAAGUCGAGCGCACUGGCCCAACUGAUAUGAYGUGCUUGCACUGAUUUGACGAUGGAUUACCAGUGAGCGGCGGACGGGUGAGUAACACGUGGGCAACCUGCCCUAAAGCGGGGGAUAACAUUUGGAAACAGGUGCUAAUACCGCAUAACUACGAAAACCACAUGGUUUUCGUAUCAAAGAUGGUUUCGGCUAUCACUUUAGGAUGGGCCCGCGGUGCAUUAGCUAGUUGGUAGGGUAACKGCCUACCAAGGCAAUGAUGCAUAGCCGAGUUGAGAGACUGAUCGGCCACAAUGGAACUGAGACACGGUCCAUACUCCUACGGGAGGCAGCAGUAGGGAAUCUUCCACAAUGGGCGCAAGCCUGAUGGAGCAACACCGCGUGAGUGAAGAAGGGUUUCGGCUCGUAAAACUCUGUUGUUGAAGAAGAACGUGCAUGAGAGUAACUGUUCAUGCAGUGACGGUAUUCAACCAGAAAGUCACGGCUAACUACGUGCCAGCAGCCGCGGUAAUACGUAG